UUCUAUGGCCACACCACCCUGAACGCGCCCGAUCUCAUCUGAUCUCAGAAGCUAAGCAGGGUCACAACUGCUUAGUACUUGGAUGGGAGACCGCCUGGGAUUACUGGGUGCUAUAGGCU
Bison bison bison is the source of this 119-nucleotide ribosomal RNA. Lineage: Eukaryota; Metazoa; Chordata; Mammalia; Artiodactyla; Bovidae. The record is from Ensembl.